This 114-nucleotide ribosomal RNA is filed under the name Mastacembelus armatus (zig-zag eel). The record is from RNAcentral. Lineage: Eukaryota; Metazoa; Chordata; Actinopteri; Synbranchiformes; Mastacembelidae.
UAAAGCGGCCAUACCAUCCUGCAAGUACCUCAUCCUGUUAGAUCUUGGAAGCUAAUCAGGGCCUGGUUAGUACUUGGAUCAGAGAUUGUCUUGGAAGACCAGGGGCCGUUAGAU